RNAcentral lists this long non-coding RNA (328 nucleotides) under Ananas comosus (pineapple). RNAcentral's name for it is "long non-coding RNA (ACOM_LNC010691)". Lineage: Eukaryota; Viridiplantae; Streptophyta; Magnoliopsida; Poales; Bromeliaceae. The record is from RNAcentral.
AUAUAUAUUAGAGUCCGUUUACUAUACUUUUAUUAGUAUUGGCUCCCUUAUACUCAUAAGUUUUCGGCCCUUAGAUUUAUUACAUUAAUCAUUUUCAUCCGUUAGAUUAUAUUAUUUAAUUAACUACCUACUCAACCCUAGGGGACCACUAUUAUUUUAAGUAGGAACGACCAUCAUCCUAACCAUACAUCCUAUCAAUCAUCGGUUAAAAAUUUAUGAGUAUAAGAGGGACUAUACUCAUAAGAGUAUAUAUAUGAGAGAGAGAGAGAGGGGUUGAUCUAUGAAGGGAGGGAAAGGGUUUGGGGGAUUUAAGUUGAUGGGUUUAGGG